RNAcentral lists this ribosomal RNA (427 nucleotides) under uncultured bacterium. Its description in RNAcentral is "partial 16S ribosomal RNA". It matches the Rfam family "Bacterial small subunit ribosomal RNA", at positions 355 to 774 of the family's 1533-position model. The record is from RNAcentral.
UAGGGAAUCUUCCGCAAUGGGCGCAAGCCUGACGGAGCAACGCCGCGUGAGUGAUGAAGGUCUUCGGAUCGUAAAACUCUGUUAUUAGGGAAGAACAAACGUGUAAGUAACUGUGCACGUCUUGACGGUACCUAAUCAGAAAGCCACGGCUAACUACGUGCCAGCAGCCGCGGUAAUACGUAGGUGGCAAGCGUUAUCCGGAAUUAUUGGGCGUAAAGCGCGCGUAGGCGGUUUUUUAAGUCUGAUGUGAAAGCCCACGGCUCAACCGUGGAGGGUCAUUGGAAACUGGAAAACUUGAGUGCAGAAGAGGAAAGUGGAAUUCCAUGUGUAGCGGUGAAAUGCGCAGAGAUAUGGAGGAACACCAGUGGCGAAGGCGACUUUCUGGUCUGUAACUGACGCUGAUGUGCGAAAGCGUGGGGACCAAACA